This 467-nucleotide ribosomal RNA is filed under the name uncultured bacterium. RNAcentral's name for it is "partial 16S ribosomal RNA". It matches the Rfam family "Bacterial small subunit ribosomal RNA", at positions 28 to 506 of the family's 1533-position model. The record is from RNAcentral.
GACGAACGCUGGCGGCGUGCUUAACACAUGCAAGUCGAACGGAAAGGCCCUGCUUUUGUGGGGUGCUCGAGUGGCGAACGGGUGAGUAACACGUGAGUAACCUGCCCUUGACUUUGGGAUAACUUCAGGAAACUGGGGCUAAUACCGGAUAGGAGCUCCUGCUGCAUGGUGGGGGUUGGAAAGUUUCGGCGGUUGGGGAUGGACUCGCGGCUUAUCAGCUUGUUGGUGGGGUAGUGGCUUACCAAGGCUUUGACGGGUAGCCGGCCUGAGAGGGUGACCGGCCACAGUGGGACAGAGAUACGGCCCAGAGUCCUACGGGAGGCAGCAGUGGGGAAUAUUGCACGAUGGGCGGAAGCCUGAUGCAGCAUCGCCGCGUGGGGGAUGACGGCCUUCGGGUUGUAAACCGCUUUCGCCUGUGACGAAGCGUGAGUGACGGUAAUGGGUAAAGAAGCACCGGUGAACUACGG